GAUGAACGCUGGCGGCGUGCCUAAUACAUGCAAGUCGAGCGAACAGAUGAGGAGCUUGCUCCUCUGACGUUAGCGGCGGACGGGUGAGUAACACGUGGAUAACCUACCUAUAAGACUGGGAUAACUUCGGGAAACCGGAGCCAAUACCGGAUAAUAUAUUGAACCGCAUGGUUCAAUAGUGAAAGACGGUUUUGCUGUCACUUAUAGAUGGAUCCGCGCCGCAUUAGCUAGUUGGUAAGGUAACGGCUUACCAAGGCAACGAUGCGUAGCCGACCUGAGAGGGUGAUCGGCCACACUGGAACUGAGACACGGUCCAGACUCCUACGGGAGGCAGCAGUAGGGAAUCUUCCGCAAUGGGCGAAAGCCUGACGGAGCAACGCCGCGUGAGUGAUGAAGGUCUUCGGAUCGUAAAACUCUGUUAUUAGGGAAGAACAAAUGUGUAAGUAACUAUGCACGUCUGGACGGUACCUAAUCAGAAAGCCACGGCUAACUACGU
This 496-nucleotide ribosomal RNA is filed under the name uncultured bacterium. RNAcentral's name for it is "partial 16S ribosomal RNA". It matches the Rfam family "Bacterial small subunit ribosomal RNA", at positions 28 to 506 of the family's 1533-position model. The record is from RNAcentral.